Molecule: ribosomal RNA, 636 nt
Filed under: Cortinarius semisanguineus
Lineage: Eukaryota; Fungi; Basidiomycota; Agaricomycetes; Agaricales; Cortinariaceae
Description: eukaryotic LSU rRNA
Rfam family: Eukaryotic large subunit ribosomal RNA
Source: RNAcentral
GUGACCUCAAAUCAGGUAGGACUACCCGCUGAACUUAAGCAUAUCAAUAAGCGGAGGAAAAGAAACUAACAAGGAUUCCCCUAGUAACUGCGAGUGAAGCGGGAAAAGCUCAAAUUUAAAAUCUGGCAGUCUUUGGCUGUCCGAGUUGUAAUCUAGAGAAGUGUUAUCCGCGCUGGACCGUGUACAAGUCUCCUGGAAUGGAGCGUCAUAGAGGGUGAGAAUCCCGUCUUUGACACGGACUACCAGGGCUUUGUGAUGCGCUCUCAAAGAGUCGAGUUGUUUGGGAAUGCAGCUCAAAAUGGGUGGUAAAUUCCAUCUAAAGCUAAAUAUUGGCGAGAGACCGAUAGCGAACAAGUACCGUGAGGGAAAGAUGAAAAGAACUUUGGAAAGAGAGUUAAACAGUACGUGAAAUUGCUGAAAGGGAAACGCUUGAAGUCAGUCGCGUUGUCCAGGGAUCAACCUUGCUUUUGCUUGGUGCAUUUUCUGGUUGACGGGUCAGCAUCAAUUUUGACCAUUGGAAAAAGAUUAAGGGAAUGUGACAUCUUUGGAUGUGUUAUAGCCCUUGGUUGCAUACGAUGGUUGGGAUUGAGGAACUCAGCACGCCGCAAGGCCGGGUUUAACCACGUACGUGCUAGA